AGGGUUUGAUUCUGGCUCAGGAUGAACGCUGGCGGCGUGCUUAACACAUGCAAGUCGAACGGAGUACCCUUGACGGAGUUUUCGGACAACGGAUAGGACUACUUAGUGGCGGACGGGUGAGUAACGCGUGAGCAAUCUGCCUUGGAGUGGGGAAUAACAGCUGGAAACAGCUGCUAAUACCGCAUGAUACAGUUGGGUCGCAUGACUCUGACUGUCAAAGAUUUAUCGCUCUGAGAUGAGCUCGCGUCUGAUUAGCUAGUUGGUGGGGUAACGGCCCACCAAGGCGACGAUCAGUAGCCGGACUGAGAGGUUGACCGGCCACAUUGGGACUGAGACACGGCCCAG
This 345-nucleotide ribosomal RNA is filed under the name uncultured bacterium. RNAcentral describes it as "bacterial SSU rRNA". It matches the Rfam family "Bacterial small subunit ribosomal RNA", at positions 8 to 334 of the family's 1533-position model. The record is from RNAcentral.